RNAcentral lists this ribosomal RNA (425 nucleotides) under uncultured bacterium. RNAcentral describes it as "bacterial SSU rRNA". It matches the Rfam family "Bacterial small subunit ribosomal RNA", at positions 354 to 796 of the family's 1533-position model. The record is from RNAcentral.
GUGGGGAAUAUUGGGCAAUGGGCGCAAGCCUGACCCAGCCAUGCCGCGUGAGUGACGAAGGCCUUAGGGUUGUAAAGCUCUUUCGGCGGGGACGAUGAUGACGGUACCCGCAGAAGAAGCCCCGGCUAACUUCGUGCCAGCAGCCGCGGUAAUACGAAGGGGGCGAGCGUUGUUCGGAAUCACUGGGCGUAAAGGGCACGUAGGCGGCCGUGCAAGUUGGGCGUGAAAGCCCCGGGCUCAACCCGGGAUGUGCGCUCAAGACUGCAUGGCUCGAGUUCGGAAGAGGGUGGCGGAAUUCCCAGUGUAGAGGUGAAAUUCGUAGAUAUUGGGAAGAACACCGGUGGCGAAGGCGGCUACCUGGUCCGAUACUGACGCUGAGGUGCGAAAGCGUGGGGAGCAAACAGGAUUAGAAACCCCAGUAGUCC